AGAAUCAACGCUGGCGGCGUGCCUAACACAUGCAAGUCGAACGAGAAAGUGGAGCAAUCCAUGAGUAAAGUGGCGACCGGGUGAGUAACACGUGACUAACCUACCCUAGAGUGGGGGAUAACCUCGGGAAACCGGGGCUAAUACCGCAUAACAUCGCAAGGGGAAGAUCCUUGCGAUCAAAGAAGCAAUUCGCUCAAGGAGGGGUCGCGGCUGAUUAGCUAGUUGGCGGGGUAAUGGCCCACCAAGGCGAUGAUCGGUAUCCGGCCUGAGAGGGCGCGACGGACGACGACUGGAACUGAAACACGGUCCAGACUCCUACGGAGGCAGCAGUGGGGAAUUUUGCGCAAUGGGGGAAACCCUGACGCAGCAACGCCGCGUGGAGGAUGAAAUAUCUUGGUAUGUAAACUCCUUUCGAUGGGGAAGAUUAUGACGGUACCGGAAGAAGAAGCACCGGCUAACUCUGUGCCAGCAGCCGC
Molecule: ribosomal RNA, 476 nt
Filed under: uncultured bacterium
Lineage: Bacteria
Description: SSU rRNA
Rfam family: Bacterial small subunit ribosomal RNA
Source: RNAcentral